CUCCUACUAAUGUCUUAAUUCCUCCAAGCUGCUCAUACCAACUUCCAAACCAACUACUUAGGUUAUACCCAUUCCAGACCUGAGUAGGUACAUGCUCAAAUUUAACCAUGUGGCUUGUAAAUUCAGCCACUGCCUGCCCUUCAUCAUCUAUGUGCAGACAACAGUUACUUAGAUUAAACUUUCCGCAUACACCUCCUUCUACUGCUAGUAAGUAAUCAAGGGCUAGCCUAUUCUGGUAUAUGGCUGAUCACAUCUUGGUAUUUUGCUUAGCUAGAAGAUUAAGCACUUGAGCUGUGUCAUUAGUAAU
Pelobates cultripes (western spadefoot toad) is the source of this 307-nucleotide non-coding RNA. The record is from the annotation of a GenBank genome assembly. Lineage: Eukaryota; Metazoa; Chordata; Amphibia; Anura; Pelobatidae.